Molecule: ribosomal RNA, 274 nt
Filed under: uncultured bacterium
Lineage: Bacteria
Description: partial 16S ribosomal RNA
Rfam family: Bacterial small subunit ribosomal RNA
Source: RNAcentral
AUACGGGGGGUGCAAGCGUUAAUCGGAAUUACUGGGCGUAAAGCGCGCGUAGGCGGUUUGCUCAGUCGGAUGUGAAAGCCCAGGGCUCAACCUUGGAACUGCAUACGAUACUGGCAAACUAGAGUGUGAGAGAGGAUAGUGGAAUUUCCGGUGUAGCGGUGAAAUGCGUAGAUAUCGGAAGGAACAUCAGUGGCGAAGGCGACUGUCUGGCUCAACACUGACGCUGCGGUGCGAAAGCGUGGGUAGCAAACAGGAUUAGAAACCCUAGUAGUCC